This is a long non-coding RNA of Sinocyclocheilus grahami, 207 nucleotides long. RefSeq lists it as uncharacterized. The record is from RefSeq and is a predicted model, not a curated record. The transcript has 3 exons. Lineage: Eukaryota; Metazoa; Chordata; Actinopteri; Cypriniformes; Cyprinidae.
GGUAGCUAGGGUACCCAGGGAGGUUGCUAAGCGGAUGAUAUGUGGUUGCUAAGGUACCCAUGGGUGUUGCUAUGUGGUUGCUAUGGUACCCGGGGUGGUUGCUAGGGUGUUGCUUUGCGGUUACUAAGGUACCCGGGGCGGUUGUUAAGGUGUUGCUAUGCGGUUGCUAAGGUAGUCGGGGUGGUUGCUAGGGUGUUGCUCUGUGGA